RNAcentral lists this ribosomal RNA (187 nucleotides) under Phoma schneiderae. RNAcentral's name for it is "5.8S ribosomal RNA". The stretch from base 1 to 154 matches the Rfam family "5.8S ribosomal RNA". Rfam says of the family: 5.8S ribosomal RNA (5.8S rRNA) is a component of the large subunit of the eukaryotic ribosome. It is transcribed by RNA polymerase I as part of the 45S precursor that also contains 18S and 28S rRNA. RNAcentral also lists the same sequence under 1 other name. Lineage: Eukaryota; Fungi; Ascomycota; Dothideomycetes; Pleosporales; Didymellaceae. The record is from RNAcentral.
AACUUUCAACAACGGAUCUCUUGGUUCUGGCAUCGAUGAAGAACGCAGCGAAAUGCGAUAAGUAGUGUGAAUUGCAGAAUUCAGUGAAUCAUCGAAUCUUUGAACGCACAUUGCGCCCCUUGGUAUUCCAUGGGGCAUGCCUGUUCGAGCGUCAUUUGUACCUUCAAGCUCUGCUUGGUGUUGGGUG